CCCGGGCAGAGGGUGAGUUGGGAGGCAGAACUGUCUGAGUGGAGCCAUGCAGAGGACCUGCUCACUCAUCCAUGUCACCCUGUUCUGGGCAGGAGCCAUGUCAGCUGUGGUGUUGGUGUCUCAAGACCAAGUAGUGACCACGUCCUUUGGGGAGUCUGCAACCCUCAGGUACUCAAUGGAAGGAGAAAUGAUCAAUAACUACCAUCAGCUGGUACAGGAAGACCCAGGAUAACAUAAUGACUUACAUACACCGAGAAGGAGGCAUGUAUGGCCCUGGUUUCUUGAACAAGUUCCGCGCUUACACUGAUAAUUCAAACAACCAGGCUGUGCUUGAGAUCCUUAAAGCAUCAGAGAGAGAUGAAGGAGUUUACUACUGUGCCAGCAACUACCACCCUGCUGGUCCAGCAGAAAUGUUUUUUGGAGCUGGCACCAAACUCUUCGUGGAGCCCAAAAAUCAGCAUAUUGCCAAACCAUCCGUUUUCGUCAUGAGAAAUGGGACAAAUGUUGCUUGUCUGGUGAAGGAUUUCUACCCCAAGAAUAUAAAUAUAAAUCUCCAGUCAUCCAAGAAGAUAAUAGAAUAUGACCCAGCUGUCGUCGUCUCUCCCAGUGGGAAGUACAAUGCUGUCAAGCUUGGUCAAUAUGGAGAUUCUAAUUCAGUGAAAUGUUCAGUUGAACACAACAACGAAAUUGUGUAUUCCUCUGAGAUUGAAGAGACAACUAAAUCUCCAGGUGACCUAAAACCAACAGAACCUGAAGUCAUACAGCAAACUUCAGAGAGCUGCCAUGAACCCAAAGAUCUGUCCAGGAAAGUGAACAUGACGUCCCUUAUGGUCCUGGGGCUCCGAUUGCUAUUCAUCAAGACUGUUGCUGUCAAUUUUCUCUUGACUGCCAAGUUGUUUUUCUUUUAAGGACGACUGGAGGGAGAAGGCUACACUCCCUGAAUGAAACCAAAAGCCUACAGAAGUGCUCUCUCUAUGGCUCCUGACUUCUCGGGGAUUCAAGUUAACCCAUCCCAGCCUUGCUUAAAUGGCUGCUACCCAAACAAGUUUUUCUUUGAAGGCAACAAUCCCAGCUCAUCCUCCAGCCUGGUGGAAAGACAAAGUCCUGGGGGUGGGGGUUGGUGGCCCUAAGUGCUUUAUAUGCUGCUUUAUAAAUGAGUAUAGAGAUACAAAGGGACAGAGGGCUUGUUUUUUAUUUCUACAACAGAUACUCUUUGAAAAUGGUGUCUUGUUCCUUUUACUUGGCCUUCAGAAAUAAAAAGUAGGAGCCAACAGGUUCCCAGCUCUGUUCUGCAAGAAGAAACAGACCCUGGGGGAAGGAAAGCAGGUGUCCUUCACCUAAACAUGAAAGGCUCUGCUCAAAACCCAGCACUAGAUUGGUCCCAAACAGGCAUCACAUCCACAAAAGCACUUUCGGCUCUUUCUACUACUUUACCAACAAAAUGACAUUGGAUUCCCUAACACUCUCCCUGUAGGCAACAGGGUUUUAAAAUCUCACCUAAAUACUCUCCAAGCCAUUCACAGAGUUCAGAGUAAAAGAUAGAGAAAAUGCACAUCUUUCUAUUAAUUGAUUUAAUAAACGUGAAUUGAAUCUCUUUAAAUUGCAGGCACUGUGUUGAGGGUGCAAGGAUGAAGAAGACAAGAGCCUGGCUUUUCAACAAACUCGCUGUGCAGGGUUUUUUUGAGGGAAGGAUAGGAAUAAGAGCCCUAGAUUUCCCCUGUAAAAAGCAGUAUCUUUACUAUCUCCUGCCUGCCCAUCUCUGUGUGGAGAGUUGGAAACCACUGGACAGUGCCUCUUGCCUGGGCCCUUGGUGUCACUGUUUUUCUGCCAUUUUCCUCUGAUACUGCCUCUGCUGCAUUUAUUCAAGUGCAUUAUGUGUGCCUCACCUCUGGCUUUACCUACUGCAGCUACUGCAGAGGGGAAGUGGGUGCUGUGAAUUCACUGUUGGUCUGACUGAGCUUCUAGGUCACACCCCAGUUUCCUGAGCCCCCAGCCUUUUGGCCUCUGACUCCGGGACCUGCCUGUGGGUUUCCUGCUGUUGUUGUUUCUGCUGCAGCAAGUAACAACAGUGUCCCCACAGUGGCCCGUGAGCUCUGCUACUCCCGCCUCAGCAAGGCCACAGCUGUUUCCAGGUGCACCCACGCAGUUAGCAGAGCCCUAGCAACCCAGCAUUGUGGUUUCCUCAGCACCCAUGUGGGUGUCGAGUGGGGGCUUCUGAGGUUACAAGCGAAAGAGCACCUCUCACCAACAACUCUGCUGCCAUUGCCCUUGCAAACUCCCACAUCAUGUUCUCACAGUCCAAAACAAAGACAGGAGGCAUUAGCACUCUAAGUAAAGAAUGCUUGUUUUCAAAACAAUCUAGGUGAAUAAAUAAGGUUCAUUCAGGG
Molecule: non-coding RNA, 2387 nt
Organism: Phyllostomus discolor (pale spear-nosed bat)
Lineage: Eukaryota; Metazoa; Chordata; Mammalia; Chiroptera; Phyllostomidae
Source: the annotation of a RefSeq genome assembly